Molecule: long non-coding RNA, 474 nt
Filed under: Urocitellus parryii (Arctic ground squirrel)
Lineage: Eukaryota; Metazoa; Chordata; Mammalia; Rodentia; Sciuridae
Description: lncRNA (ENSUPAG00010020430.1)
Source: RNAcentral
CUCUACUACUUUUCUAAUGUGUGAUAGGAAUAAUUAAGAUGAUUAAGUGGUAAUUGUUUCAAUUUUGUUGCCAGAAAGAUGACUUUGCCUCCAAAGAGAAAACAGCAAGCCAAGAGUGACAACAGGAUUAAAUGACAAACGACUUUGCCCUGGAAGAAGAUGGAGGAAAAUGGGCCCCUGCGGAGUGACACGGGAGGAGAGGAGCCUUUGGGAACAGAAAGGCCGAUACUGACCUUCAGACCUGGGGAAGGAGAGGAAGAGUGGGAGGUAACCUGGCUUCUCCUGGAAAGGUCAUCUGUCUGCUGGGCUGUGACUGCAGAGACCUGCCUGGACAAGUGGGCCUGGGACAAGUGGGAAGUGUGUGAGAACUGUCGGGAGAAAGAGAAACGGUAGGAUGCGGGGAGAAGAGAGAACAUGUUGGGUGAUCAAAAGAUGCCCAAACAUUAAUACAGAAGAAUAAGAGCUUAAUCAUAA